AGCUUGCUCACGGGCUUUCUAUCAUAUCCAUAACACCUGUGCACUUGUUGGAUGUCUAGAGACGUAAAGUCGACAGUCAUCCACUUACACUAAACAAUAAUGUAACAAAUGUAGUCUUAUUAUAACAAAAUAAAACUUUCAACAACGGAUCUCUUGGCUCUCGCAUCGAUGAAGAACGCAGCGAAAUGCGAUAAGUAAUGUGAAUUGCAGAAUUCAGUGAAUCAUCGAAUCUUUGAACGCACCUUGCGCUCCUUGGUAUUCCGAGGAGCAUGCCUGUUUGAGUGUCAUGAAAACCCUCAACCUUAGAUUGGUUAUUUGACCUUUCUUUGGCUUGGAUUUGGACGUUUGCCGAUGUCAAGUCGGCUCGUCUUAAAAGUAAUAGCUGGAUCUGUCUCGCGACAUGGUUUGACUUGGCGUAAUAAGUAUUUCGCUAAGGACAUCUUCGGAUGGCCCUGUUGCAGGACUAAAGACCGCUUUCUAAUCCAUUGAUCUUCGGAUUAAUAUUCAUAACAUCUGGCCUCAAAUCAGGUAGGACUACCCGCUGAACUUAAGCAUAUCAAUAAG
This 564-nucleotide ribosomal RNA is filed under the name Naganishia vaughanmartiniae. RNAcentral describes it as "eukaryotic LSU rRNA". The stretch from base 134 to 287 matches the Rfam family "5.8S ribosomal RNA". The record is from RNAcentral. Lineage: Eukaryota; Fungi; Basidiomycota; Tremellomycetes; Filobasidiales; Filobasidiaceae.